Molecule: ribosomal RNA, 253 nt
Filed under: uncultured bacterium
Lineage: Bacteria
Description: partial 16S ribosomal RNA
Rfam family: Bacterial small subunit ribosomal RNA
Source: RNAcentral
UACGUAGGGGGCGAGCGUUGUCCGGAUUUAUUGGGCGUAAAGAGCUCGUAGGCGGUUUGUCGCGUCUGCUGUGAAAUCCGGAGGCUCAACCUCCGGCCUGCAGUGGGUACGGGCAGACUAGAGUGCGGUAGGGGAGAUUGGAAUUCCUGGUGUAGCGGUGGAAUGCGCAGAUAUCAGGAGGAACACCAAUGGCGAAGGCAGAUCUCUGGGCCGUAACUGACGCUGAGGAGCGAAAGCAUGGGGAGCGAACAGG